AGCGAACGCUGGCGGCAGGCCUAACACAUGCAAGUCGAACGAACCUUUCGGGGUUAGUGGCGGACGGGUGAGUAACACGUGGGAACGUGCCUUUAGGUUCGGAAUAACUCAGGGAAACUUGUGCUAAUACCGAAUGUGCCCUUCGGGGGAAAGAUUUAUCGGCGAAGGAUCGGCCCGCGUUGGAUUAGGUAGUUGGUGGGGUAAUGGCCUACCAAGCCGACGAUCCAUAGCUGGUUUGAGAGGAUGAUCAGCCACACUGGGACUGAGACACGGCCCAGACUCCUACGGGAGGCAGCAGUGGGGAAUCUUAGACAAUGGGGGAAACCCUGAUCUAGCCAUGCCGCGUGAGCGAUGAAGGCCUUAGGGUUGUAAAGCUCUUUCAGCUGGGAAGAUAAUGACGGUACCAGCAGAAGAAGCCCCGGCUAACUCCGUG
This 433-nucleotide ribosomal RNA is filed under the name uncultured bacterium. Its description in RNAcentral is "partial 16S ribosomal RNA". It matches the Rfam family "Bacterial small subunit ribosomal RNA", at positions 29 to 507 of the family's 1533-position model. The record is from RNAcentral.